GCCUUCGUGGUGUAGUGGUUUUGCACGCUGCGCCGAUAUUCCAGAGGCCCGUGGUUCGAUUCCCGGCGAAGGCG
Molecule: transfer RNA, 74 nt
Filed under: Stegodyphus dumicola
Lineage: Eukaryota; Metazoa; Arthropoda; Arachnida; Araneae; Eresidae
Description: tRNA-Ile
Rfam family: tRNA
About the family: Transfer RNA (tRNA) molecules are approximately 80 nucleotides in length. Their secondary structure includes four short double-helical elements and three loops (D, anti-codon, and T loops).
Source: RNAcentral